UACGUAGGGUGCAAGCGUUAUCCGGAUUUACUGGGUGUAAAGGGCGCGUAGGCGGGAAUGCAAGUCAGAUGUGAAAUACCCGAGCUUAACUUGGGUGCUGCAUUUGAAACUGGGUGUCUAGAGUGCAGGAGAGGUAAGUGGAAUUCCUAGUGUAGCGGUGAAAUGCGUAGAGAUUAGGAAGAACACCAGUGGCGAAGGCGACUUACUGGACUGUAACUGACGCUGAGGCAUGAAAGCGUGGGGAGCAAACAGG
This 253-nucleotide ribosomal RNA is filed under the name uncultured bacterium. RNAcentral describes it as "partial 16S ribosomal RNA". It matches the Rfam family "Bacterial small subunit ribosomal RNA", at positions 524 to 776 of the family's 1533-position model. The record is from RNAcentral.